AAUGAACAAGGAAAAUUAUUUUAUUUGAAUUUAUGGGAAUGAUUCAUAUAUGGCAAAAAUAACAUGCUCACAGCUACCCCUCUUUGCCCGGAAACACAAAGAGUUUUCGUGCAAAGAUAAGUGAGCGGACAUGAGAAAUUUUUUCCCGUUUGAAUACUCUGUGCGAAGCAUUUUUGAAAAGCUUGCACGCACCGUACUGCAGAGGUUGCCUACAUAUCCUCGGCUAAAGAGGAAUCACGUCAAUGUAGUUCAGGAGUAUUUGGUAGCUUGGACUACCGAAACUAUGAUCUCAUUGUUGCUGCUACUGCUACUGCUGCUAGACCCCCUUAUUACACCUUGUGAAAAUACAAAAGAAGCUAGACUAAGCUAUAAACUAUGAGUUAUAAAAGAUCCUAUCUAUAUCUUCAAGUUUGCUCUUAUCCUUGUUGCUUUAUUGCUUUGUAUUUCUUCCUGUAAAACUUCUUGUUGCCUUGUUGACUUGUAUUUUGUUCAUGUAAAACUUCUUGUUUUCUCUUCUUCUAUGUUUGAUGCCGAAUUGUUGGACAUGAAAUGUAUUCCCUUGUUUUGCAGGUGGGCGCCUGAUUACCAAAACUUGAAAUCUGAAACAUACUCCCUUGUUCUGCAUGUGGGCACCUGAUGACCAAAACUUGAAAUCUGAAAUGUAUUCCCUUAUUCUCCAGGUGGGCGCCUGAUUACCAAGAAUUGAAAUUUGAAAUGUAUUCCCUUGUUCUGCAGGUGGACGCCUGAUUACCAAAACUUGACACUUGAAAAGUAUUCCCAUGUUCUCCAGGUGAGCGCCUGAUUACCAAAACUUGCAACUUGAAAAGUAUUCCCUUGUUCUUCAGGUGGGCGCUUGAUUACCAAAAUUUGGAACUUGAAAAAUAUUCCCUUGUUCUCCAGCUGGGCGCCUGAUUACCAAGACUUGAAAUUUAAAAUGUAUUCCCUCGUUCUGCAGGUGGACGCUUGGUUAACAAAACUUGAAAUCUGAAACUGUUCUCUUGUUCUCCAGGUGGCCGCCUAAUUACCAAGACUUGAAAUUUGAAAUGUAUUCCCUUGUUCUCCAGGUGGGCGCCUGAUUACCAAAACUUGCAACAUGAAAAGUAUUCCCUUGUUCUCCAGGUGGGCGCCUGAUUACCAAAACUUGUAAUUUGAAAAGUAUUCCAUUGUUCUCCAGGUGGGUGCAAGAUUACAAAACUUACAACUUGAAAAGUAUUCCCUUGUUCUCCAGGUGGGCGUCUAAUUACCAAAACUUGCAACUUGAAAAAUAUUCCCUUGUUCUCCAGGUGGGAGCUUGAUUACUCAAACUUGAAACUUGAAAAAUAUUCCCUUGUUCUCCAGGUGGGCGCCUGAUUCCCUUGUUCUCCAGGUGGGCGCCGGAUUACUAAAACUUGCAACUUGAAAAAUAUUCCCUUGUUCUCCAGGUGGGCGCUUGAUUACUAAAACUUGAAAUUUGAAAGGUAUUUCAUUGUUCUCCAGGUGGGCGCCUGAUUACCAAAUCUUGCAGCUUGAAAAGUGUUCCCUUGUUCUCCAGGUGGGCGCCUGAUUACCAAAACUUGCAACUUGAAAANNNNNNNNNNNNNNNNNNNNNNNNNNNNNNNNNNNNNNNNNNNNNNNNNNNNNNNNNNNNNNNNNNNNNNNNNNNNNNNNNNNNNNNNNNNNNNNNNNNNNNNNNNNNNNNNNNNNNNNNNNNNNNNNNNNNNNNNNNNNNNNNNNNNNNNNNNNNNNNNCCAAAACUUGCAACUUGAAAAAUAUUCUCUUGUUCUCCAAAUGGGUUCCUGAUUACCAAAACUUGAAACUUGAAAAGUAUUCCCUUGUACUUCAGGUGGACGCCUGGUUACCAAAAUUUGCAACUUGAAAAGUAUUCCAUUGUUCUCCAGGUAGGCGCCUGAUUACCAAAACUUGAAACUUGAAAAGUAUUUCCUUAUUCUCCAGGUGGGCGCCUGAUUACCAAAGCUUGAAAUUUGAAAAUUAUUCCAUUGUUCUCCAGGUGGACGCCUGAUUACCAAAACUUGAAGCUUGAAAAAUAUUCCCUUGUUCUCCAGGUGUGCGCCUGAUUACCAAAACUUGAAACUUGAAAAAUAUUCCCCUGUUCUCCAGGUGGGCGCCUGAUUACCAAAACUUGAAAUUUGAAAAGUAUUACUUGUUUUCCAUGUAGGCGCCUGAUUACCAAAACUUGAAAUUUGAAAAAUAUUCCCUUGUUUUCCAGGUGGGCACCUGAUUACCUAAACUUGCAAUUUGAAAAGUAUUCCCUGAGACUGCUACCUUUGUUCCUGAUUACCUAAACUUGCAAUUUGAAAAGUAUUCCAUGAGACUGCACAUGUCUAAUCUAAGUUUUGACGCGCUGAAAUGAGAUGAAAACAAGAAAAAACAUGACUAUUAUUCAAAAUCAGGAUUUCAGCCCAAGCAUUCACAUUUUCAAAUGACAUUAGUUUAUUAUUUAUGCAUAUUAAGAGUAUGGAAGUGGAAAGUAAUAAAAACACCUCUAUAUCUAUUGUAGAAGUAAAAGAAAACAAAAUAAAAGAAGCCAAACAACAAUGUAACCAUUUAAACACCUAUCAAAGUCAACAAACAUAAGUCCAAGUUCCUAUUUCAAGCCCUAAAAUGAGUCUCCAAUGUUCAAAGAACUACAUUAAUUCAAACACUCUAGACAGAAAACAUGAUGUAGCAAUUCGAAUGAAAACAGAACAGAAACAGAAAGAAGAGAAAAACAAUCAGCAGGUAGAGAGAUCUUCAUUUCUUCACAACAAAUGAAUCAGCCUUUAUAUUUUAGGAUCAAGGUAUGUACCUGGGAAUGAAAGGCAAAGGGAAAAGUGAGGAAUCAAUAGUAUCAAGAGCAGAAAUUAGCACCAGCAACAGAACAGCCCAGGUUCAACCAAAAUCAGCAACGAAAUCAAUCCAGAAGAAAGAAACCAAUCCAACAACUUAAAUCGGAUCUUUCAAUACCCAAGCUUAAACCAUUUUUAACCUUGAAUAAAAUUAGAUGUUGUUCAGGAAUGAAAAAAACUUCAAAGUUCAAUGCAAAAAUUUCAAUGGAACAACAUUUACUCUAAUUUUUCAGUUCUCUCAAGUCUGUCUUGAAUAACAAGGUAGAGUGCUUUAUAUCCAAGGCGUUUAGGGCAGCCCUCAAAAUCAGUUUUUUCACUUUUGACCCUUUUUAUGUUUUCAUUUUUUCCUAGAUACCCCUUAGUCUAGUUCUCAACUUUCAAAAUAACCUUUUUCCCAGUUCCUAGAAGCUUCCCAAGCAGUUAUAAAUAGAUUCCCUAGCUAGACUACCUAAAUUACCCUUAAAACCCCUAAAAUUACCCAAAUAGACUAAAUGGGUAUGGGUCAAGUUGACCCAAGAGUUCAAUUAAACUGAGCCUAGGCCUAAACCAUGCUGACUACCGGCUUUCCCCCUUCCCCACUUUGGGCUUCCUCUUUUCAGAGCCCAAAUGAAAUUAAAGAAAAUGGGCAGAGCAGUUUUAUAGAACAAGUUUAUAAAAACUACAACAAUUCCGAAGAUGUGAACAACGAGACUUCAGACACAAACAAAAAAAAUGAAAAGGCACAAACAGAAAAGAAAAAGAAAUCAUCAUGAACAAAUAAUGAUUUUCCAAACUGACAAUGUUAACUUAUAACACAAGAAUUGAUGCUUGAAACCAAACUAAUACAACGAGCAACUAAAUUAGAAAAGACUAAAAACUACAGUAAAGAGGGGAAGGAUUUACGAAGCUCUACUAGAUAAUUGACGACUCAGCGAAAUUGACGACUAAAGAGGAUCCGGUAAAUGGCGAGAAUUGUAGCAUAGGCAUUAACCGGAAUUUCUUCGACAGUUAAUGCUCCAUAUCACAAUCCUCAACACCUACUUUGAAAUGAGAUGAAUUAAAAACUUGGAACACAGAUUGUUUUGACCAAAAACUGGCUACCAUGACGGGCCUUGAAAUUGAUUAACUAACAAGCCAAUCCCGCGUGAUAUCACCAAAUAAAAACAAAUAAGGGGAAAGAUCAAGGAAAGUAAAGCCCCCCCCCCCCAAAUUUCUGUCUUCCGAGAUUUGGAUUUCUCGAAAAUCGGGUGACUUCUGGAGAAAAUCGUGGUAGAUUUGGAUUGAGGAUGCAAUAAGGAAUAUCUAGUCAAAUUUAGAUAGAGUUUGGAGAUCAACCGCCACAGCUAACGAUUUUAGGUGGCGGUGGACGGUGGUGAGAGAUGAGACUGACAAAGGCGAUAUAACUAGGGUUUUAGGUCAUUUGGUCGUUUGGAUAGUUUUAUGUGAAAAUGAUAAAGUCCCUAUGGAUGUUAGAU
RNAcentral lists this long non-coding RNA (4279 nucleotides) under Nicotiana benthamiana. RNAcentral's name for it is "long non-coding RNA (NBEN_LNC004832)". The record is from RNAcentral. Lineage: Eukaryota; Viridiplantae; Streptophyta; Magnoliopsida; Solanales; Solanaceae.